AUACGAAGGGGGCUAGCGUUGUCCGGAAUUACUGGGCGUAAAGCGCAUGUAGGCGGACAUUUAAGUCAGGGGUGAAAUCCCGGGGCUCAACCUCGGAACUGCCUUUGAUACUGGGUGUCUAGAGUGUGGAAGAGGUAAGUGGAAUUCCGAGUGUAGAGGUGAAAUUCGUAGAUAUUCGGAGGGACACCAGUGGCGAAGGCGGCUUACUGGUCCAUUACUGACGCUGAGGUGACGAAAGCGUGGGGAGC
RNAcentral lists this ribosomal RNA (248 nucleotides) under uncultured bacterium. RNAcentral's name for it is "partial 16S ribosomal RNA". It matches the Rfam family "Bacterial small subunit ribosomal RNA", at positions 523 to 769 of the family's 1533-position model. The record is from RNAcentral.